RNAcentral lists this ribosomal RNA (322 nucleotides) under Sphingobacterium sp. Its description in RNAcentral is "bacterial SSU rRNA". It matches the Rfam family "Bacterial small subunit ribosomal RNA", at positions 1125 to 1454 of the family's 1533-position model. Lineage: Bacteria; Pseudomonadati; Bacteroidota; Sphingobacteriia; Sphingobacteriales; Sphingobacteriaceae. The record is from RNAcentral.
GUCANGGUGGGGACUCUAAACAGACUGCCUGUGCAAACAGAGAGGAAGGUGGGGACGACGUCAAGUCAUCAUGGCCCUUACGUCCGGGGCUACACACGUGCUACAAUGGAUGGUACAGCGGGCAGCUACAUAGCAAUAUGAUGCUAAUCUCUAAAAGCCAUUCACAGUUCGGAUUGGGGUCUGCAACUCGACCCCAUGAAGUUGGAUUCGCUAGUAAUCGCGUAUCAGCAAUGACGCGGUGAAUACGUUCCCGGGCCUUGUACACACCGCCCGUCAAGCCAUGAAAGUUGGGGGUACCUAAAGCAUGUUACCGCAAGGAGCG